CCAUCCAAACUUGAGGGUCCCCGAACGGGACAAGCGGUAGAAAAUGAAUGGAUGGAUGAACGGUUCCUGCACUGCUGCUCCUUCUCCUGGACUCGCUAUUUGCGGGUCUUCCUCAUCUGCUGGCGUUUGCUUGCGCUCACUGAAUGCUGAUGAGGAAGAACCAUAGGAGGAACGCACCGCGGUGUGGACCAAACUUUUUUAGGGCCAUUGGGGUAAUUUGAAAUUAUUACAAUUACAAUAUUGUGUGACUCAUUGCUUUUAAAAAUGUUUUGGGGUUAGUUCAUAUUCAUUAGUUCCGUGUACGCAUAAUCAUUUUGUCAUACAGCUACUGUGGGCUGAGUUUGGGCUGUAGCGGGCUGCGGGCCCUUAGAAUUGUUAUCACCUUUCCCCCCUAUACGACGGCCCUGUCUGUCAUUGAAAAACACAAAUUCUCAGUAUAAAUGCUCAACUGUGUAGCAAACUAAUUGGUGAGACGUCUCCAGUCAUGUACAAACCCCAUUUCCACAUGAGUUGAGAAAUUGUGUUGGAUGUAAAUAUAAACGGAAUACAAUGAUUUGCAAAUCCUUUUCAACCCAUAUUCAGUUGUAUGCACUACAAAGACAAGAUAUUUGAUGUUCAAACCCCCAAAUUUUUUUUUUUGUGCAAAUGAUAAUUAACUCAGAAUUUCAUGGCUGCAACACGUGCCAAAGUAGUUGGGAAAGGGCAUGUUCACCACUGUGUUACAUCCCCUUUUCUUUUAACAAAUCUCAAUAAACGUUUGGGAACUGAGGAAACUAAUUGUUGAAACUUUUUAAGUGGAAUUCUUUCCCAUUCUUGUUUUAUGAAGAGCUCCAGUCGUUCAACAGUCCGGGGUCUCCGCUGUCGUAUUUCACGCUUCAUAAAGGGCCAGACAUUUUCGAUGGGAGACAGGUCUGGACUGCAGGCGGGAUAGGAAAGUACCCGCACUCUUUUUUUUACGAAGCCACGUUGUUGUCACACGUGGUGAAUGUGGCUUGGCAGUGUCUUGCUGAAAUAAGCUGAAAAAGACGGUGCUUAGAUGGCAGCAUAUGUUGUUCCAAAACCUGUAUGUACCUUUCAGCAUUAAUGGUGCCUUCACAUAUGUGUAAGUUACCCAUGCCUUGGGCACUAAUGCACCCCCAUACCAUCACAGAUGCUGGCUUUUGAACUUUGCGUCGAUAACAGUCUGGAUGGUUCGUUCCCCUUUGGUCCGGAUGACACGAUGUCCAAUACUUCCAAAAACAAUUUGAAAUGUGGACUCGUCAGACCACAGAACACUUUUCCACUUUGCAUCACUCCAUCUUAGAUGAUCUCGGUCCCAGAGAACCCGGCGGCGUUUCUGGAUGUUGUUGAUAAAUGGCUUUCACUUUGCCUAGUAGAGCUUUAACUUGCACUUACUGAUGUAGCGACGAACUGUAUUUAGUGACAGUGGUUUUCUGAAGUGUUCCUGAGCCCAUGUGGUGAUAUCCUUUAGAGGUUGAUGUCAGUUUUUGAUACAGUGCCGUCUGAGGGAGCGAUGGUCACGGUCAUUCAAUGUUGGUUUCAUGCCGCUUACGUGGAGUGAUUUCUCCAGAUUCUCUGAACCUUUUGAUGACGUGGCGCAGUGGGAGAGUGGCCGUGCGCAACCCGAGGGUCCCUGGUUCAAAUCCCACCUAGUACCAACCUCGUCACGUCCGUUGUGUCCUGAGCAAGACACUUCACCCUUGCUCCUGAUGGGUGCUGGUUGGCGCCUUGCAUGGCAGCUCCCUCCAUCAGUGUGUGUGAAUGUGUGUGUGAAUGGGUAAAUGUGGAAGUAAUGUCAAAGCGCUUUGAGUACCUUGAAGGUAGAAAAGCGCUAUACAAGUACAACCCAUUUAUCAUUUAUGAUAUUAUGGACCGUAGAUGUUGAAAUCCCUAAAUUUCUUUAUUGCACUUUUAGAAACAUUUUUCUUGAACUAUUUGACUAUUUGCUCACGCAGUUGUGGACAAAGGGGUGUACCUCGCCCCAUCCUUUCUUGUGAAAGAAUGAGCAUUAUUUGGGAAGCUGUUUUUAUACCCAAUCAUGGCACCCACCUGUUUCCAAUAAGCCUGCACACCUGUGGGAUGUUCCAAAUAAGUGUUUGAUGAGGAUUCCUCAACUUUAACAGUAUUUAUUACCACCUUUCCCAACUUCUUUGUCACAUGUUGCUGGCAUCAAAUUCUAAAGUUAAUGAUUAUUUGCAACAAAAAAAAGUUAUCAGUUUGAACAUCAAAUAUGUUGUCUUUGUAGCAUAUUCAACUGAAUGUGGGUUGAAAAUGAUUUGCAAAUCAUUAUAUUUCAUUUAUAUUUACUCCUAACACAAUUUCCCAACUCAUAUGGAAAGGGGGUUUUUACAAUAAGCAGGUAGAACAACUAUUUGAACGGAUGUCUCUCAUACCCGACACAAUCAUUUGCAACUCCUCCACUCUGGCUGCAGAACAAUACAGACGCAGUUUUUCCCAGAUGCCAUAAUUAAACUAACAGUACCAAAACUGCAAAACCAGUUUCAUUACUGGCAAUUACAUAAUCAAACCUAACCCAGCCCAACUAAUGAAGGCGGUACAAGUCAUGUUGCCAUGCUUGUUAAGAAGAGACAGAGACCAGGACAUCAGGAGACAAGUCAAGCUUCAGUACGGAAAUACAUUGGACAUCACCGGUCUCAAACGCCACCAUGAUCAAGACUUUCAUUCUUAUGCUUCUGCUUGUCGGAGCCAACAGUCAAACUGUUGAUUGGGCCCCAGAAGAAUCUGGCCACCCUGGAGACGGUGAUAGCAGUGGGCUGCCUCCUCCCAACACUGAUCUGUCUGAUUUGCCUGAAGACCUGGAGUUAACUGUUACGUUAAAAAAUCCAAUCCCAAUGAAUACCAAACUUGUUUGUAAGGUUGAAGGUCAACGUAUCACAAUUAAGAUUGUCCCGCUUGAUACCACCCACACCCCAUUGAUGACCGUUUGACUUUGACAUUAAUAUCUGACAAUCAUGUUCCUGUUCUACCUUUCAAGCAGUUAUUCAAUUGCUAACCACUAGGGGCUUUGUGUUUGGAAGUUGGCACAUUCAGGGCGAAGUGUAGCGUUGUUCCUUAGGAGGAUAGAUUGGAAAGAAUAUUAUAUUUCAUAAUAUGUGUUCAUUCAAAAAAGAGGAGGAACAAAGCCACAUUUUGGUUUGGAAAUGUAUUGGUGAAAAGUCUUUAAAUGUGCUCUCUGGUAGUUGUAAGCUUUUUCUGUCAGCAAUCCAUCAUUAAAAAUAUCAAAACAUU
Nerophis ophidion (straightnose pipefish) is the source of this 3249-nucleotide long non-coding RNA. RefSeq lists it as uncharacterized. Lineage: Eukaryota; Metazoa; Chordata; Actinopteri; Syngnathiformes; Syngnathidae. The record is from RefSeq and is a predicted model, not a curated record. The transcript is spliced from 4 exons.